UACGUGAGGGGCGAACGUUGUUCGGUGUCACUGGGCUUAAAGGGCGCGUAGGUGGUUGCGUAAGUAACGUGUGAAAUCCCUCGGCUUACCCGGGGAAUUGCGCGUUAUACUGCGUGACUUGAGGAUCUCAGGGGAAGGGGGAACUCCAGGUGUAGCGGUGAAAUGCGCAGAUAUCUGGGGGAAGGCCGGCGGCGAAGGCGCCCUUCUGGGAGAUUCCUGACACUGAGGCGCGAAAGCGUGGGGAGCAAACAGG
RNAcentral lists this ribosomal RNA (253 nucleotides) under uncultured bacterium. Its description in RNAcentral is "partial 16S ribosomal RNA". It matches the Rfam family "Bacterial small subunit ribosomal RNA", at positions 524 to 776 of the family's 1533-position model. The record is from RNAcentral.